AACUUUGCGCAGUGGCAGUAUCGUAGCCAAUGAGGUUUAUCCGAGGCGCGAUUAUUGCUAAUUGAAAAUUAGAGGUGGCAAUGAGUCAACAAACUUGGAUAGUAAUAGAACAAGAGUGAAGUUGGGACUCUCUAAAGGGA
This is a small nuclear RNA of Lutra lutra (Eurasian river otter), 140 nucleotides long. RefSeq annotates it as U4 spliceosomal RNA. The record is from RefSeq and is a predicted model, not a curated record. NCBI's taxonomy places the organism in Eukaryota, Metazoa, Chordata, Mammalia, Carnivora, Mustelidae. The transcript has a single exon.